RNAcentral lists this ribosomal RNA (958 nucleotides) under Collybia sordida. RNAcentral's name for it is "LSU rRNA". It matches the Rfam family "Eukaryotic large subunit ribosomal RNA", at positions 38 to 966 of the family's 3401-position model. The record is from RNAcentral. Lineage: Eukaryota; Fungi; Basidiomycota; Agaricomycetes; Agaricales; Clitocybaceae.
GCAUAUCAAUAAGCGGAGGGAAAAAAGAAAACUAACAAGGAUUCCCCCUAGUAACUGCGAGUGAAGCGGGAAAAGCUCAAAUUUAAAAUCUGGCGGUCUUUGGCCGUCCGAGUUGUAAUCUAGAGAAGUGCUAUCCGCGCUGGACCGUGUACAAGUCUCCUGGAACGGAGCGUCAUAGAGGGUGAGAAUCCCGUCUUUGACACGGACUACCAGGGCUUUGUGAUGUGCUCUCAAAGAGUCGAGUUGUUUGGGAAUGCAGCUCUAAAUGGGUGGUAAAUUCCAUCUAAAGCUAAAUAUUGGCGAGAGACCGAUAGCGAACAAGUACCGUGAGGGAAAGAUGAAAAGAACUUUGGAAAGAGAGUUAAACAGUACGUGAAAUUGUUGAAAGGGAAACGCUUGAAGUCAGUCGCGUUGGCUGGGGAUCAACCUUGCUCUUUUGCUUGGUGUACUUCCCAGUUGACGGGUCAGCAUCAAUUUUGACCAAUGGAAAAAGGUCAGGGGAAUGUGGCAUCUUCGGAUGUGUUAUAGCCCUUGGUUGCAUACAUUGGUUGGGAUUGAGGAACUCAGCAUGCCGCAAGGCCGGGUCUUUGACCACGUACAUGCUUAGGAUGCUGGCAUAAUGGCUUUAAUCGACCCGUCUUGAAACACGGACCAAGGAGUCUAACAUGCCCGCGAGUGUUUGGGUGGAAAACCCGGACGCGUAAUGAAAGUGAAAGUUGAGAUCCCUAUCGUGGGGAGCAUCGACGCCCGGACCAGACCUUUUGUGACGGUUCCCGCGGUAGAGCGUGUAUGUUGGGGACCCCGAAAGAUGGUGAACUAUGCCCUGAAUAGGGGUGAAGCCAGAGGGAAACUCUGGUGGGAGGCUCGUAGCGAUUCUGACGUGCAAAUCGAUCGUCGAAAUUUGGGUAUAGGGGCGAAAGACUAAAUCGAAACCAUCUAGUAGCUGGGUUCUGCGAAG